UGAGAGGCAAUUGCCGUCCUAGUGUGA
This 27-nucleotide non-coding RNA is filed under the name Homo sapiens (human). Lineage: Eukaryota; Metazoa; Chordata; Mammalia; Primates; Hominidae. The record is from RNAcentral.